CGCCUGUUUUUCAAAAACAUGGCUCUUUGGAAAACUUACAUAAAGAGUCGGACCUGCCCAGUGAUACAUCUCGUAUUCAACGGCCGCGGUACUCUGACCGUGCAAAGGUAGCAUAAUCAUUUGCCCUAUAAUUGAGGGCUAGUAUGAAAGGUUUGACAAGGGCAACCCUGUCUCUGCAGAAAUCUCUGGAAUUUAUUCUCUAGGUGAAGAAACCUAGAUAAUAUUAAAAGACAAGAAGACCCUAUCGAGCUUAAAACUCAUUUAUGAUAUAAAGAAAGUGAUAUACACAUUUCUUUUCAUAAAAAAUUUUGGUUGGGGCGACUAAGGAACAACUAAAGCUUCUUUUAUUUAUAAAAAUAUCUAAAUCUAGAUCCGUACUAGUUACGAUUAAAAGAAUUAGUUACCGUAGGGAUAACAGCAUAAUCUUUUUUGAGAGUUCUCAUCGAAAAAAAGGUUUGUGACCCUCGAUGUUGGACUAGAAUAUCCUGACAGGUGCA
Molecule: ribosomal RNA, 497 nt
Filed under: Littorina littorea
Lineage: Eukaryota; Metazoa; Mollusca; Gastropoda; Littorinimorpha; Littorinidae
Description: partial 16S ribosomal RNA
Rfam family: Bacterial large subunit ribosomal RNA
Source: RNAcentral